UAACUAUUGAACUGUUCUGUCAAA
Molecule: microRNA, 24 nt
Filed under: Plutella xylostella (diamondback moth)
Lineage: Eukaryota; Metazoa; Arthropoda; Insecta; Lepidoptera; Plutellidae
Description: pxy-miR-8517b
Source: miRBase by way of RNAcentral